UGGGGAAUAUUGGACAAUGGGCGCAAGCCUGAUCCAGCCAUGCCGCGUGAGUGAUGAAGGCCCUAGGGUUGUAAAGCUCUUUCAACGGUGAAGAUAAUGACGGUAGCCGGAGAAGAAGCCCCGGCUAACUCCGUGCCAGCAGCCGCGGUAAUACGGAGGGGGCUAGCGUUGUUCGGAAUUACUGGGCGUAAAGCGCACGUAGGCGGACCAGAAAGUUGGGGGUGAAAUCCCGGGGCUCAACCCCGGAACUGCCUCCAAAACUAUUGGUCUAGAGUUCGAGAGAGGUGAGUGGAAUUCCAAGUGUAGAGGUGAAAUUCGUAGAUAUUUGGAGGAACACCAGUGGCGAAGGCGGCUCACUGGCUCGAUACUGACGCUGAGGUGCGAAAGUGUGGGGAGCAAACAGGAUUAGAUACCCUGGUAGUCCACACCGUAAAACGAUGAAUGCCAGUCGUCGGGUAGCAUGCUAUUCGGUGACACACCUAACGGAUUAAGCAUUCCGCCUGGGGAGUACGGUCGCAAGAUUAAAA
This 527-nucleotide ribosomal RNA is filed under the name uncultured bacterium. RNAcentral's name for it is "bacterial SSU rRNA". It matches the Rfam family "Bacterial small subunit ribosomal RNA", at positions 355 to 899 of the family's 1533-position model. The record is from RNAcentral.